UGGGGAAUCUUGCGCAAUGGGCGAAAGCCUGACGCAGCAACGCCGCGUGGAGGACGAAGGCCUUCUCGGUUGUAAACUCCUUUCGGCAGGGACGAAAACACUGACGGUACCUGCAGAAGAAGCCCCGGCCAACUACGUGCCAGCAGCCGCGGUAAUACGUAGGGGGCGAGCGUUGUCCGGAUUUAUUGGGCGUAAAGAGCUCGUAGGCGGCUUGGUUAGUUGGGUGUGAAAUCUCCAGGCUCAACCUGGAGGGGCCACCCAAUACUGCCAUGGCUAGAGUCCGGUAGGGGGCCACGGAAUUCCUGGUGUAGCGGUGAAAUGCGCAGAGAUCAGGAGGAACACCGGUGGCGAAGGCGGUGGCCUGGGCCGGAACUGACGCUGAGGAGCGAAAGCGUGGGGAGCGAACAGGAUUAGAUACCCCCGUAGUCC
This 429-nucleotide ribosomal RNA is filed under the name uncultured bacterium. RNAcentral's name for it is "bacterial SSU rRNA". It matches the Rfam family "Bacterial small subunit ribosomal RNA", at positions 355 to 796 of the family's 1533-position model. The record is from RNAcentral.